UACGUAUGGGGCGAGCGUUGUUCGGAUUUAUUGGGCGUAAAGGGCGUGUAGGCGGCUCAUCAAGCCUGGUGUGAAAACGCAAGGCUUAACCUUGCAUAGGCGCUGGAAACUGGUGGGCUUGAGUUCUUGAGGGGAAGCUGGAAUUCCAGGUGUAGGGGUGAAAUCUGUAGAUAUCUGGAAGAACACCGGUGGCGAAGGCGAGCUUCUAUCAGAGGACUGACGCUGAGGCGCGAAAGCUAGGGGAGCAAACGGG
RNAcentral lists this ribosomal RNA (253 nucleotides) under uncultured bacterium. RNAcentral's name for it is "partial 16S ribosomal RNA". It matches the Rfam family "Bacterial small subunit ribosomal RNA", at positions 524 to 776 of the family's 1533-position model. The record is from RNAcentral.